AGACCCCAAAGAGUCUCCAUCUGCAAAGAACAAACUUAUCACUGGAGUUGGAGGAUUUGUCCUUGGUACAAUCUUCAUCUUAGUUGGACUGUUUGUCUAUCUGAGAAAUAAGAAAGGUGAAACUCGUAUCCCACUUCCUCAAACUGAAGGUCUAAUGAGCUAAACUGAGUGCCACAAUGCAAAAGAAGGAAAAAAAAAGACUUCAGUUCACUAACCAGAUUUUGCCUCACGUGAUCAAUGUUUAUGUGCAAAAACUUCAGAUUUGCUGUUGGUGUUUCAUUUUUGGAUUCCUGACAUCAACUUCCUUAAAUUCUUUAAUUUUCAGUAGAUAUCUUUUCAGUACUGAUUUAUAUUACAGAGAAUGUUUAAAGCUCAUUUAAAUUAGAUGUACUAAAAGGUAAUUAUUUCUUUGCCUUGGUAUGUUGAGUAUUUUCUGUACACCCUUUCCUAUUAUAAUUGUAACUGUGUAAGUAUGAAUAGAAGAAUUAAGUAGGAAUAUUGUAGGACUCAAUAGUGAUGCAGAUUGCAUGUCACCCUUGUCUUGGAGUGGGGUUAAGCUGUUACAAAAACGGUUUCAUUGCCAGCAUGCAAGUAAGGGCAUGAAGUACCUUCAUGGCUGCCUGAAUUAUUUCCCCCUGCAGAGAGGUCUCCACUUGGAUGACAUUUCCAGGUGAAGGAAUAAAUGGGCCAUGUCCAUUUGAGGGAACUUGAUGGAUGUUUAGCAGGCCUGUUGCAAAAUUCACAUAAAAAAUAAGAAUUUUAUCCAAGUAAGGAUUUGCAAUACAUAGUAUUUCUAUGAGCCUGUUAUGUUUAAUGAUCUUAGUACAAUCAGCCAAGGAAAGAAUUCAUGAUUAUCAAGGUUUUCAGACAGCAUAUUUCUCCUAUUUGUAGUCAUACACUUUUGUAUAAUAGACUUUAUGAAAUAAAUAUUGAUAAACAGUUAUAGUCUCAUAGCAUACCUUAUAUACAUAAACAUAAAUAAAAACAGUUUUGAUUAACUAAAAGGAAUCUUUUAUUGAGCCAUUAAAAUGAAAGAUAAGCACUUUCAUCUCCUAAACUAUUUUCAAGAAAUGUAGACAUCAGAGCAAGUCAGUCAAAUGAUUUUGGAAUUAACAACUGAAGAAUUGCAUCUAUUUUGGUCUGUACUAAACUGUACUAAGCAGUUACAUCACUUUUUCCCUUGAAAUUUUGAACUGCAAUAACCCUAUCCUGUGCCACUAUCUUUGUAUCUUAGUGUAUGAUAUCUGCACAGCUGUGUAUAAACAGAAAGGUACUGAGAAACUUUCAAAUGUGCACAUUAUUCCUACCUUUCACGCCCUCACAAUUCAUUUGUGAGCUAAGACAUUUAAUUAACAAACAUAUUUCAACUCUUUAUAAGCCGCGGUGGUGCAGCGGUAGUGUUGUUGCCUCACAGCAAGAGGUUCUCCUGUUUGAUUC
Protopterus annectens (West African lungfish) is the source of this 1437-nucleotide long non-coding RNA. RefSeq lists it as uncharacterized. NCBI's taxonomy places the organism in Eukaryota, Metazoa, Chordata, Ceratodontiformes, Protopteridae. The record is from RefSeq and is a predicted model, not a curated record. The transcript is spliced from 3 exons.